RNAcentral lists this ribosomal RNA (497 nucleotides) under uncultured bacterium. Its description in RNAcentral is "partial 16S ribosomal RNA". It matches the Rfam family "Bacterial small subunit ribosomal RNA", at positions 28 to 507 of the family's 1533-position model. The record is from RNAcentral.
GAUGAACGCUGGCGGCGUGCCUAAUACAUGCAAGUCGAGCGAACGGACGAGAAGCUUGCUUCUCUGAUGUUAGCGGCGGACGGGUGAGUAACACGUGGAUAACCUACCUAUAAGACUGGGAUAACUUCGGGAAACCGUAUCUAAUACCGGAUAAUAUUUUGAACCGCAUGGUUCAAAAGUUAAAGACGGUCUUGCUGUCACUUAUAGAUGGAUCCGCGCUGCAUUAGCUAGUUGGUAAGGUAACGGCUUACCAAGGCAACGAUGCAUAGCCGACCUGAGAGGAUGAUCGGCCACACUGGAACUGAGACACGGUCCAGACUCCUACGGGAGGCAGCAGUAGGGAAUAUUCCGCAAUGGGCGAAAGCCUGACGGAGCAAUGCCGCGUGAGUGAUGAAGGUCUUCGGAUCGUAAAACUCUGUUAUUAGGGAAGAAAAUAUGUGUAAGUAACUGUGCACAUCUUGACGGUACCUAAUCAGAAAGCCACGGCUAACUACGUG